GCUUGUUGGUGGGGUAAUGGCCUACCAAGGCGACGAUGGGUAGCCGGCCUGAGAGGGUGUACGGCCACAUUGGGACUGAGAUACGGCCCAGACUCCUACGGGAGGCAGCAGUUAAGAAUCUUGCGCAAUGGGCGAAAGCCUGACGCAGCGACGCCGCGUGGACGAUGAAGGCCUUCGGGUUGUAAAGUCCGGUAAGCAGGGAAGAAUAAGUGUAAAGUAAUAUCUUGCACGAUGACGGUACCUGCCUAAAGCCCCGGCUAACUACGUGCCAGCAGCCGCGGUAAUACGUAUGGGGCAAGCGUUGUUCGGAAUUAUUGGGCAUAAAGGGCGUCUAGGCGGGGGACUAAGUUAGGUGUGAAAGCCAUGGGCUCAACCCAUGAAUUGCACCUAAAACUGGUUUUCUUGAGUUCGGGAGAGGAGAGCGGAAUUCCCGGUGUAGCGGUGAAAUGCGUAGAUAUCGGGAAGAACACCAGUGGCGAAGGCGGCUCUCUGGCCUAGAACUGACGCUGAAGCGCGAAAGCGUGGGGAGCGAACGGGAUUAGAUACCCCGGUAGUCCACGCCGUAAACGUUGUGUACUAGGUGUUAGUGGCUUGACCACUAGUGCCGUCGCAAACGCAUUAAGUACACCGCCUGGGGAGUACGUCCGCAAGGAUGAAACUCAAAGAAAUUGACGGGGGCCCGCACAAGCGGUGGAGCAUGUGGUUUAAUUCGAUGAUACGCGAAGAACCUUACCUGGGCUUGAACUGUACUUGAUCGGUGUAGAGAUACACCCUCCUUCGGGCAGGUGCAGAGGUGCUGCAUGGUUGUCGUCAGCUCGUGUCGUGAGAUGUUGGGUUAAGUCCCGCAACGAGCGCAACCCUUACCCCUUGUUGCCAUCAGGUAAUGCUGAGCACUCUAGGGGAACUGUCGGUGAUAAACCGGAGGAAGGUGGGGAUGACGUCAAAUCAUCACGGCCCUUAUGUCCAGGGCUACACACGUGCUACAAUGGCCGGUACAAUGAGUUGCGAGACCGCGAGGUGGAGCUAAUCUCAAAAAACCGGUCUCAGUUCGGAUUGCAGUCUGCAACUCGACUGCAUGAAGCUGGAAUCGCUAGUAAUCGCGGAUCAGCACGCCGCGGUGAUACGUUCCCGGGCCUUGUACACACCGCCCGUCACACCACCCGAGUUGGCAGCACCCGAAGUGGCUGAUCUAACUUCGUGAGGA
RNAcentral lists this ribosomal RNA (1204 nucleotides) under uncultured organism. RNAcentral's name for it is "bacterial SSU rRNA". It matches the Rfam family "Bacterial small subunit ribosomal RNA", at positions 244 to 1450 of the family's 1533-position model. The record is from RNAcentral.